UAACAUUACUUCCAGUGACAGCAUCUAGAAGGCUACAGAAUAGGGAAGGAAGGAAACAGAUUUUAAUAUACGUUCUGUGGUAACCUGUGAACUUUCCACAAGUGUGCUUUUCUCUUUGCUUAAAAUAUAAAAUAUUUUUAUAAACUAAGGCCCAUGUCAUGGCACGGACACACACUUUGGUCCCAAGGUGAGGAAUUCAGACAGGGUGCAGUGGGGAUGGCUAUUUCUGCUCUAGGAUGUUGAGGUCUCAGGAGAGGAGUCUCACCAGUUGGGGUUGAUACUAACACUAGGAUCUGGACUCCUCUGGAGAUCACAUCACUGCCAGGUCUGCAGCUGAAGCUGGGCUUGCUGGCAGAGCUUCAGGAAGCCUCCCCACGAGGCCUGGGCUUCCUCCUCGAAGGCAGAACUGCAGAGCUCAUUGUGGGUGGUGGAGGGCUCCAGCAGGAGAUUGACCUGAGUGGCUCAUGGCCUUUUCAGGCUUAACUGUGGACAUUACACAGUGUUAUUUCCAGGACAUCUGUCAGUGUCUUAAUUCUGUAUCUACACAGAGAGAAAGCCAUGAGCGAACCCAGUGAGAAGGCAGUCAUCUCAAAGCCAAGGAUGGACUGCUCAAGAAAAUCCAACUCAACCUUAAAUCCCAGCCUCCAGAACAUGAGAGAAUAGUGUUCGGUCUUUUAAACAACCGGGUCUGUGGUAUUUUGUGAUGGCAGUCCUAGUAAACUAAGACAAGACUCUAAAACA
Molecule: long non-coding RNA, 741 nt
Organism: Bubalus bubalis (water buffalo)
Lineage: Eukaryota; Metazoa; Chordata; Mammalia; Artiodactyla; Bovidae
Exons: 2
Source: RefSeq, a predicted model, not a curated record